This is a non-coding RNA of Phascolarctos cinereus (koala), 292 nucleotides long. The record is from RefSeq and is a predicted model, not a curated record. NCBI's taxonomy places the organism in Eukaryota, Metazoa, Chordata, Mammalia, Diprotodontia, Phascolarctidae.
AUUUUUCUUUCUGAUGCAUUCUGCUACCAACUUCUAUUUUCUGGGUGAUUUCAUCAAUACGGGAGUUCCUUCCAAUGGUACAGAUUGUGACCCAUCCAUGACCUCUCAAAAAUUCUCCACAGAAGAUCUGUCCAACACAUCUGAGAUCUUUUUUCUAGUGGUUUUCUCAACAAACUAUAUCAAAUAAGCUAGCACCUCACACAGGAUUGAAGGAGAUUAGCAGGAUGAGAACGACUCUGAAAAGUGGUGCAAAAGAUUCAAUUUGGGAAGUGCGUUGUUGAACUGGAUAACU